ACAAGUAAUGUUAGAAUAGAAGGGCAGUCAGGUACUCGGGUAAAACCCGAUUGAGGAAUGUAAAGCAUCUCUAAAGCCUAUAAAAGGCAACUCUCACAUCAGUGAGAAAAUAACGAGUCAGGUAUUAUUCAAUCUCUCUUUUAUUUUGAUUCUUGGUCUUCUAACCCUCCAAUCUUCUCCAGGUUUAGUUUACUGUUUUAUCUUGUUCUUCCGGUCAGAUUCUUCCCGUCACCUGAUCUUCGUUCGACCAUCUUCGAUCUUCAUCUUCAGUUCUUCGGAUUCAGUUCCUCUCAUUGUGAGAUUAGUUUUUUGGGUUUUCUUCAUUAAUCUGUCUUAGUUGUGAACAAUUUUUUUCAUUUCUUCCUAUUUUGUAGAUGUUCUUGUAGUUAGUUGCAGUCUUUUAUUUCUAUGUUAUUUCCAUUCAGUUAUCAGAUGUUUAUCUUGAAUCCUUAAAUCCAAUUUGUAAUCGUAUAUGUUUGAUUUGAAUCUUGCUUAAUAGUCUUGUCUAUUCUAAGUAUUAUUCAUCUUUAUACUCUGAUCAUCAUCACAGUUCUUAUGCUUAAAUUCCUAUACUACUUUAUUUAGUUUAAAUCUAUUCAAAUAGUUAUACAUAGAUAGAACUGUCUACUCUGAAAUUCUACAUGGUAUCAGAGCUUUGAUCCUUUUGGUCCAUUCAAGUUUUAUUUCAGAUCUACUAUUUUGCCAAGUUUUUUUGAUCUAGAUCCGGAAUUAUUACAAGCAUUAUAUAUUUUGAAUAUGUUGUGUUAAGUGUAAACAAUUGAGUAUGGUUUGAUUCCUUGUUGUUCUAAUUCAUCAUUGCAGUUUUUCCAUGGCCAAUCCACCUGAACAACCAUUUAUACCACAAAAUCCUUUACCUCUGAACUUAUACACAACACCAACAAUUCCACCUCCAACCUCUGCCAACUACAACAUUUUUAGCCUAGUUCCGGAUAAGAUGGAUAGAGGGAAUUACCUAUGCUGGAAAAAUCAAUUCGAAUGUGCUCUUAGAGUACAUAAGAUGUUGAAAUUUGUGUCUGGAACAGAGCCCGUUCCAGCCAGAAAAUUAGACAAUGGUAAUGACAACCCUGAGUUUGAGAAAUGGGAAACCAGGGAUAAUUUGAUUCUAGAAUGGCUGAAGGCUACUGUCACGAAUCCCUACCAACUGAUGCUGUUAAAAUGCAAUUCAGCAUUUGAGGGCUGGAAUUCUUUAGAAAUAUUAUUCUCUCCUGUUAGUAAAACUCAGAUCCAAGUAAUAAGAGAUCAGCUAAGCAACCUGAAGAAAAUAUCAACAGAGUCAAUGCAGGAUUAUCUAGUUAAAGCAAAAGGACUAGUAGAAUCACUAGCUUCUACUGGUGAGGAAAUCAGUGAUACACAAAUUCUGGCUUAUAUCCUAAAUGGACUAGGAGCUGAUUACCAUGUGAUAACAACAACUGUGAGGUCUAGAGGUCCUACCAGUUUUGAAGAGCUUACUAUUUGCUUAUCAGUGAAGAUAAUUUUUUUUAAAAAAUUCAGAGUGAAACACAAGUCACAGCAUUUGCAGCUAACUAUCAGCCUAAAGGAAAUAAUAAUUACAAUCAUGGGAGAGGAAGAAAUUAUGCUGGAAAUAAUGGAAGUGACUAUCAAAAUUCAGGUGUGUAUAACUACAAUCCAAAUGGGUAUGGAUAUCAAAAUUCUGGUGGUUUUUACAAUCCUGGUGGUCAGAAUAUGUUCGGGCCUAGAGCACCACAAUAUCACACUCAAUAUUAUCAUUAACACAGACCACAAUACUAUAACCAACCCAGACCUUAUUCAAAUCCAAUUUUCAGAACACCACAACCUCAGCAAGUUCCUCAGGCAUUUAUAACUCCUCAAAACAACAGUCCACAACCACCACCUAUCUUACCAAAACCUGCAUCCAUUGAUCAGAACUUUAACUGUCAGAUUUGUGACAAAAAAGGGCAUCUGGCCAAAGCAUGUCCUGAUCUGCACAAUUUUUCUGCUCAUCUGGCUGAUACUACAACAACAGAGAUACAACCAGCACCUGUUCAGAAUAUUGAUCCCAAUCAGAUAGUGGCAAUGUCAGAUGUAGCACACUGCAAUGAGUCAACAUGGUGUCUAGAUUCAGGAGCUAGCAGCCACAUGACCCCAGAUAUAGAAGCCUUCACUGCUUAUGAGCAGUUUGCAGGUAACCAGUCUGUUAUUGUAGGUAGUGGGGAAAGGUUGAGAAUCAUGCAUAAAGGUUCUGUUUGCAUUUUGCAAGGGGGAAGAAGUUUAUAAUUAAUGGAGUUUUGCAUGUACCUGGGUUAAAGAAAAGUCUAUUAUUAAUUCAAAAAUUAUCACAUGACCAUAAUUGUGUGAUUCUUUUUAACAAAAAUGGUUUUGUGGUGAAGGACCAAUGUACCAAGGAGAUGUUGUUUUCUGGUAAUAGCUCGGGAGGUUUAUAUCACCUGGACCAGGAUGUAAAAGCAAAUGUUGUUGGAGUCAAAACUACAAAGGGAUAUGGCACUCAAGGCUGGGACACACGUCUGAAGCCAUUCUAAAGGAUCUAUCAUGGAUACUGCCUUGUUUAGCUAGUAAAAUAAAGGAAGGUAGUUGUCCUAUUUGUCCAUUAGGGAAGGCUCAUAGGUUACCAUAUAAAAGGAGUACAAGUGUCUGUAAUAAACCUUUAGAGCUAAUUUACAUUGAUUUGUGGGGGCCUGCUCCUGUUAAUUCAGUUCACUCAUUUGCAUAUUAUGCUUCAUUUGUUGAUGAAUUCUCAAAAUUCAGUUGGAUUGUCCCUAUGCAACAUAAGUCUGAUUUUUUUCAAGUAUUUGUGGUAUUUAAAAGGCAAGUAGAGAACUUAUUAGAAACUACAAUCAAGGAGAUACAAACAGAUAUGGGGGGUGAAUUUCUCAAUAGGAAAAUGAAAGAGUUUUGUCAAACAGGUGGGAUAAAACAAAGAAUAUCUUGUGCCUAUACACCACAACAAAAUGGAGUGGUGGAAAGGAGGCAUAGACAAAUUGUGCAAAUAAGUGGAUGCAUUUUUGCUCAGUCUGGGAUACCACAUGUUUACUGGCCAGAAGUAUUUUCUUCAGCUGUAUUUAUCUUAAACAGACUCCCUAAAUCUAUACUAGAGCACAGAACACCUCAUGAGGUCCUACUUAAAAAAUUACCAGAUUAUACUUUACUGAAAACAAUAGGAUGCUUAUGUUAUCCCUUCAUUCAUAAACACCUAAGAAAAAAAUUAGAGCCUAAAGCGUCAAAAUCUGUUUUCUUAGGCUAUGCAACACAACAAAAGGGUUAUAGAUGUCUUGAUUUAGAAACCUUGAAAAUUACAGUCUCUAGAGAUGUCUUAUUUGAUGAACAAACUUUUCCUUUCUAAAACAAAUUAAAUCUAAACAAAUCCAAUCAUCCCGAGAUUAUACAAAAAACAACACAAUUCUAUCCAUGCAUGAUGAUGAGUUCAAUAUAGUAUCCACCAUUUCAAUGAAUACUACUAAUACAAAUAAACAAAAUAUUAGUUCUUCUGAUAAUUUACAAUCUGAUCUUAAAAACUCUGAGCAGGAUGGUUCUAUUGUACCAAGCUCACCAGAAGAUAUAUCAUCUAUUGAAUCGUCUUCCACCUUAUCUUCUGAUGGUACAGUUUCAGCAAAUAGGUCAGCUGAUAACUCUCUUAGUAAUUCUCCUAUUAAACGUGUAAGUGAACCUGUUUUAAGAAGAUCUGAGAGGGUAAAAGUUCCAAGUGUCUUACUAAAAGAUUUUGAUUGCUCUUUUUCCACUAAUAUGUCUAAUAUAUCUAUUCCAUGUGAGCCUACUUCUUAUGCACAGGCUAUAAAAUAGGGAUGUUGGGGAGAACCUAUGAAGGAGGAGAUAGAAGCUAUGAAUCAGAACAAGACCUGGACUCUUGUACCACAUGAGCAACAUAUGAACAUAGUGGGAUCAAAGUGGGUUUACAAGGUUAAGAAGAAGGCAGAUGGGUCAGUAGAGAGACUAAAGGCUAGGCUGGUUGCAAGAGGUUUUACCCAAGAGGAAGGUACAGAUUUUCACUAUACCUAUAGUCCUGUCAUAAAGAUUUCAAAUGUUAGAACUGUGAUAUCUUUGGCAACUACCUUUGGGUGGGAAUUGCAACAAUUGGAUGUCAGGAAUGCAUUUCUUAAUGGAUUUUUACAAGAAACUGUCUACAUGAAACAACCCACGGGAUUCAUAGAUGCAAAAAGACCCAAAGAUGUAUGUUUAUUGCAUAAAGCCAUAUAUAGGCUAAAACAGGCACCAAGGGCUUGGUACAUGAGGUUACAAGCCUUUUUGGUUAAAAAGGGCUUCACUAAUUCUCACACAGAUGCCUCACUAUUUUUCAAGAACUCUGAAAAUUCAAAGGUUAUUAUAUUGGUGUACGUUGAUGACAUUAUUGUCACAGGUGGAAACUCAAAAGAAAUUAAGGAGGUAAUUUCAGAAAUAUGUUCUGAAUUUGCUUGCAGGGAGUUGGGAUCUCUUAAAUAUUUUCUGGGAAUGGAAUGUAAUUACACAGGUUCUACAAUAGUUUUGUCUCAAGAAAAGUAUAUAAAUGAUCUGCUCACAAAAUAUGAGUUUGACAAGGCUAAACCUACAAAUACUCCAAUGGUACAGUCACCAAGAAUGUAUGAGAUUGUUGGAGAACAAGUUCAGGAUAUUACAGCAUAUAGGAGUAUGGUAGGUUCUCUCCAGUAUCUGAGUCUAACUAGACCAGAUAUAUCGUUUGCUGUUAAUCAAGUAUGCCAACAUUUACAUAAUCCAUUAGAAGGUCACUUGUUAGCGGUAAAAAGGAUAUUCAGAUAUCUAAGAGGGACUUCAAACAUAGGGUUGAGGUUCACUCCUAGUGAGAACAAACAAUUAUUCCUAGAAGCUUACUGUGAUUCACAUUGGAGUGGUACAUUAGACAGAAGGUCGAUAAGUGGGUCUAGUAUUUGGCUAAAUGGAAAUUUAGUAUCAUGGUCCACCAAAAAGCAGCCAUCAGUAUCGUUAUCAAGUGCAGAAGCUGAGUUUAAGGCACUUUCUCAUGUAACUUCUGAAGUUAGAUGGUAUUGUUCAUUAUUCAGAGAAAUGGGUUUUACAUUCUCAAAACCACCACUAUUGUUGUGUGAUAACAAGUCAGCCAUAUACAUGGCGACUAACCCUACAAUUACAAGCAGAUCUCGGCAUAUUGACAUAGCAUACUACUUUUUUCGAAAGUUGAUAAGUAAAGGAGCUAUUGAAGUUAGAUACAUACCUACGGGGCUUCAAUUAGCAGAUGGCUUCACAAAGGUUUUGGGAACAGAGGCAUUCCGACGUCAUAGACACCGACACAAAUUAAUUCAAUUAACACAUGCGUCAAAUUCUGGUCAUCCAAGUUCGUCGGAAUUCUUCCCGUCGACCUUUCGGGAGGAUGUUAGAAUAGAAGGGCAGUCGGGUACUCGGGUAAAACCCGAUUGAGGAAUGAGAAGCAUCUCUAAAGCCUAUAAAAGGAAACUCUCACAUCAGUGAGAAAAUAACGAGUCAGGUAUUAUUCAAUCUCUCUUUUAUUUUGAUUCUUGGUCUUCUAACCCUCCAAUCUUCUCCAGGUUUAGUUUACUAUUUUAUCUUGUUCUUCCGGUCAGAUUCUUCCCGUCACCUGAUCUUCGUUCGAACAUCUUCGAUCUUCAUCUUCAGUUCUUCGGAUUCAGUUCCUCUCAUUGUGAGAUUAGUUUUUUGGGUUUUCUUCAUUUAUCUGUCUUAGUUGUGAACAGUUUUCAUUUCUUCCUAUUUUGUAGAUGUUCUUGUUGUUAGUUGCAGUCUUUUAUUUCUAUGUUAUUUCCAUUCAGUUAUCAGAUGUUUAUCUUGAAUCCUUAAAUCCAAUUUUUAAUCGUAUAUGUUUGAUUUGAAUCUUUCUUAAUAGUCUUGUCUAUUCUAAGUAUUAUUCAUCUUCAUACUCUGAUCAUCAUCACAGUUCUUAUGCUUAAAUUCCUAUACUACUUCAUUUAGUUUAAAUCUAUUCAAAUAGUUAUACAUAGAUAGAAAUGUCUACUCUGAAAUUCUACAAGUAAUAGAUCAUGAAGAACUAAAGACGAUUCAUCAAUCUUGGCAACACUUCGACCAGAUUUGGUAAUUGGAAGUGGGGUCCCGUCGGCAGUGUAUAUACAGUCUUUACCAGUGUAUUGCCGUGGGUACUUAAUGUUAUCUUCCAAGCUUAUGAUAUGCGAUGUGGCACCCGAGUCAGAGUACCACAUCAUCAUAGCUUCCGAUGAGUAAUUCGUAAUGGCGUAUAACGAACCUCCCUUACUUCUGUUGGGUGCUCGCGGAGGCAAUGUCCGAUUGUAACUCGGUGGAAAUCUGGUUAGGUUCAGUCGAUUAUAACAAUCGACCGCACCAUGCCCUUUGCAGGAACAAAUUUGACACCGUACAUCUACUUUGGAGCCCCAUCCGUUCUUUGCUGCAGCGUUUACCUCACCGGAUUCCAGAACUCACGAUACAUUCCGUGCGCCCAUCCGUAAUUCGUGAUCCAUCAGAAGCUCGUCAAGUUCCGAAAACGAGAGAUUCGGAUCAUAACGCAUAGUAACUGAAGGUACAAAGGCCUCAUAUUCCUCGCUCAGGCCUCCAAGCGCAAUCAAUAUCACUUCUGAUUCUUUCAAUUUCUCCCCGGUGGCAGGGAGCGCAUCUUUGAGUACCGAAAUUUUCGAGAUGUACUCGUCCAUGGACAUUCCCCCCUUUACGGAUUGACUGUAACUGCAGAUGGAGAUGCAUACCGUGUCUGUGAACCUAUGUACCAGAUGCGUAAAGACAUUGUAAGCACGACCAUAUACCGGCGGAAGUUCUAUACAACGCCACGUACUUGAGGAACAAUCGAUGUCGAUAUCCCAGUUAAAAUCCAUCUCAAUAUCAACUGGUCCUGCUGGAUCGUCUCCGGUGAUAUAAGAUUGACGUCCUCGCGAACGUACGUAGCUCAUUAAAUCAAAUCCGUGUAACAUCGCGCAAAAUUGCAUCUCCCACGAGAAGUAAUUAUCUUUCUCGAGAAGAAGACAUCUAAUCGGCUUCGUCGCAGCGGAAGAGAAUGGCGUUUGAUUCGUCAUCGGAGAAGUAGAACUUUCUGUAAUUACAUUUGAUCUGUAUUCAAAGCUGUAAUUGGUUACAAUCUGUUACAACUAACUAUCUAUCCUACGUGGAGCAUACAUGGAUUGUACGUGGCUCCAUUAAAAACU
This 7145-nucleotide long non-coding RNA is filed under the name Zostera marina. RNAcentral describes it as "long non-coding RNA (ZMAR_LNC005195)". The record is from RNAcentral. Lineage: Eukaryota; Viridiplantae; Streptophyta; Magnoliopsida; Alismatales; Zosteraceae.